This is a non-coding RNA of Bactrocera oleae (olive fruit fly), 792 nucleotides long. NCBI's taxonomy places the organism in Eukaryota, Metazoa, Arthropoda, Insecta, Diptera, Tephritidae. The record is from RefSeq and is a predicted model, not a curated record.
CCUCUUUGUUGUCGAAGCGAUUGUCAUUACCCUGGCAGCCACCAUAGAUGAAGUCCUCACAGGCCUUCGACUCGCUAUUGUAGAAAACCUUCGGAUCGGAUUUGCGGCAUGGACCAACUUCUUUGGGCUGCGAACAAGCUGUGCACGAAUAGAAUAGAUAUAGAGACAUGUUUAGGUUGAAAGUGAAAGACAUCCAUUAAAUAGAUGAACAGUUUACAAAUGAUAUUAGUUUGAAAAACGUUGAUAAUAAGCUGUCAUACCUCGAAAGGCUGGAGCAAUUGCCGUACUAUUUGGGCUUCAUUGUAGGAUAAGUUUGCUAGAACCAUCCAUAGUAAAAUGCAAAAGCUUAAACAAAUGUUUUCAAGAUGAAUGAUGAUGAUGCAUUAGAAAAGAACCACAUGCUCUUUAUACUUAAAUAUCUGUUUUUGAUGACAGCAUUCUUCUUUUUUCGAUCUGUGAUCUUAUCACUAUGUUUAACCUAGUUGGUCAAGCCUUUCUUCUCAGUUGUGGUGGCUCCAUCAAUACUUACAUUCUUGAAAAAAGAGCGUGAAAUCUCAAUAAAUCUGAGAGUAAAUGCUUACUGAUUCGAGUAGUACUAAGACAACAACUAAGAAGCUUAAAAUGUGAAAAGAAGAAAUCUGAAGAUAUUGUAUACUAUAGAUAACAACUGCUUAUGUUGAGUGCUCAGAUAAAAAGCAUUAAACGAUUUAAUUUAUGUUCAAAAUAUAUUUAUUUAAAAAUAUAUACUAAUAUUAUGAACAAUAAAUAAAUAAAGUAUUAAUUCUGCAUAAA